GUCAACUCAUGCUGCUGCAAAGGAUUUAGGUACUGUAACAGCAAAGGCACUAUUCAAACGAAAAGAGAAAUUUAGUUUUGAGGCUGCUCUAUGUACCCCCUUUGGAGGUUUGCUUGUGAAUGAAUUACACAGAGUUAAGAAAAUGAAGGCAGCCAGUGUUUCAUGCAACAGUGUAUGCUUCAGUCAUUUUCUGUUAUCAGCAGAACGUGAAAUCAGAUUGACUAUAAGAAAAUAUCUAAGGAGGGUUGUACCCAGUCCUUGUAAGUGUACUACAGGCAGGCUAGAAAAUAACUACUUCCAAAAAUUUGUUUUCAGUGGACAAUACAGUGCUUACCUGAAGGAAGUUUUGAUGACAUUUCAGAAGACAAAUCUGCAAUAAAUGGGUUAUUUCGUUACUACUAAUAAAUCUAAGAAGAUAACCAAUUUCAUGUACUUCACUAUACUGUCUGCUAGGACAAUGGAAACUGCUGAAGAUGCAGUUACUUUUAUUAGAAAUAUUUUGCCUUUAAUUUUCUGUUCUUUAAUGAAACUUUAUUACACGUUGUUUAGGGCUUUCUACAUAAUGGGAUUUUGAGGUAAUAUCUAUUAAAAAUUGUCAAGCAGAAAGGAGCAAUAAUUGGUUUCAAUUAAGGUUAGAGUUUGCUUUCUUUGUUUUUUUGCUAGACAGAAACUAUGGCAGCGGUUAUGUGCACCUCUUCCUUAUGUCUUCCUUAGCACUUUCACACUCCAAAAUGAAUAUGCUUCAGGAACUUCCAGCAAUGGAAACUUUGCAUUUGCUUCGUUUAUCCAGUUUUCCUCAUAAAACUAAACUUUUAAAUACAGAUGCAAAUUUUGAGGCUUUUUUCCCUGUUAUGAAAAUUAACUACGUAAUUAGGGUUUUUAGUUAGGAGUGCUAACUAUCUCUUGUGGAAUAUUUGUUAUAAUCGUUAAGUUGAAAAAAAGUAUUUUUCUUCUUUUAUACCCCCCAGAAGUGUGAUACAGAAGAAAAUUCAAUUAUCAUAUGUUAAAAGAGGGAAAAGGUAUUAAAAUGGCUUUCUUAUUAAAUAUCAAUUAUGCAUUACAAAACCUCAAGAUUAAAUAACCUAAUUAUAGGUGAAAGGUUUUGAUAUGUCGUAAGAUUAUUAAAAUACACUUAAAGUGCUGCUGUAGAGAAUUACUUGCAGAACUAUAGCAUGGGUAACUUACAAAUUCUAAUGUGGGAAAAACAACAACAACAAAAAAAAACAGCAGUAAUACAUUAAAAAAAAAAUUUGUGCUGAUUUGUCUUUAGUUUUAUCACACCUAUGAGUUUUGUGGUGUCUGUUGUUGUUCCUAAAAUCCUUAAUUUUUCCAAAAGUGUAACUUGCUGCUACAAACGUAUUAAGUCAUAGUUGAGCAGUCUGAUACAGCGUGAAAUUGUCCAUAAUACAGUUAAGACUUUUACCUCUUACCUUUUGCUUUUCAUAAUCUGCCUUGUUCUGAGGACCCAGAAAAAACCUAAACGCUAUACUGAGUCCUGAUAUCUCAGGAGAGUCAGGAAGAGCAAAGUACACCCAUGUAGCAUGAUAGAAAAGGCUCUGCAGUACCCACAGCUGCUGAACAGAUGAGCAGUUUUUAAUGGAGCUAAGAUUCACAAUGGAGUCUGGGCCCAGAACUAAUCAGAUCUAAUUAAGACGGACACAUUAUGGUCCAGCACUGUUGACAAGGUCAGGGUUCCUGUAGCUCUAAAUGAGGCAUGUUAUAAUUAUGAUCUAAUUGAAAAGCUGGGAGUGAUACAGAACCUGUGCACUGCAGCGUCUGAAAGAAAAGUUGCUCUUCAAGUCCUUCUGUAUUCUUUAUUAGGUUGUUGAUGCUCAAUUAGGCAGCUGUGCAUUGGAGGAAAAAAAAAGGUGGAUGUGACAGUUCCACAGGGUUCAAAGAAAACCUAUAUGAGUUUUUAAAAUCUACAAUUGAUUCAUGAAGUUCUACUAAAUAUAUGCAGAAACAAGCCUUUGUUUGCUUUUCUCCUUGAGAUUUAUCUUGAUAAUACAGCAAAGCAAAAGGAUCUUAGGUUGUUAUCAUGAUUCAGAAAUACAGUGGAGGCUUUUCAAAGUGGAGUAUGUGCAUGCAUCAAUCUGCAGAAUGAUGUUUGAAAUUUAGAGGCUGUAUUUUCCAGCUCUAAUCUGUCUUUAAUAAGCUAUCAAGGGGCCAGGGAGGGACUUUUUUGUUCUAGAGACUGCGGUCCCAGGAUUUCUGCUGUAUGACUGACAUAUGGGCUUAUAUAAAUUAUCAUACCUCACCACAGACUACGUCAUAUACAGUUUCAUUUUUCUCCUCAUGUGGAAUUUGUGGCUUAGAUUUAUUCUUUUCUUUUUAUAAGACCAUGUCUGCAAUGAAAGGCUUUAUUAGAAAGCAGGGCAUCUCGUUCCACCUUGGAAAAUCAUUCACAUGCACUGAAUACACAGAAAGCUGCUGCCACUGAAAUGUAGAGUUCUGCUUUCAUCUAAUGUGCUCUGGUAUCAAGCAUGCCAGAAUAAGAAAGAUUUCCUGCCUACAUAUGUGUUGUUUGGCAUGUUUCACCUUAGGGGCUGGAGAUUGCUGACUUGCAUCCAGUUGUGCAGGAUGCAGAAAAGCCUGCAUGAUCUCUCUGAAGCCUUGUUGUUUAGCAUAGCAAGAAAGCUGUAAUGCUUGGGGGCUUUUAACAUUUGGGGGAAGCCUCGGCAAUCAGCUGAAUACUCACCGAGGCACAUGCUAGUUCCCUUGUAAGUAGAGCAGGGAGAGAGUAUGAGAUGAGAAAGCUGAGGGGUCAAGGUAUGGAUAGGAAGAUUGUUUUGCCCAUGACUAACAGGUAAGCAGAGUUGGCUUGGGAAUUUAUUGCCAAUUGAAGUAGAUAUGGAAGGUGAGAAACAAAAACAAAAUUGAAGAUACCUUCCCAAGCUCAGCUUCAAUCCUGUACUCCCAGUCCAUCUACCUCUGGUCCUAAGAAACAGAGUAGGGCAUGGGGAAGGUAUAGUCAGUCUAUUUCAGAGUUGUUGGGGAGUGAGUCCAGGGGUGGAAGAGGGGUGGGUCACAAAGAUGAUCAGGGAGCUGGAGCACCUAUGCUGUGAUGAAAGGUUGAGGGAACUGGGCUUGUUUAGCUUGGAAAAGGCUCUGUGGAGACUUCAUUGCAGUCUUCCAGUACUUAAAAGGAGCUUAUAAGCAAGAGGGGGGACCAAAUUUUUACACAAUCUCUUAAUGAUAAGACAAGGGGAAAUGGCUGUAAACUAAAAGAGAGGAGGUAUAUGCUAGGUGUUAGGAAGAAGUUUACUCCAGAGGAUGCUGAGGUCUUGGCUCAGGCUGCCAAGAGAAGCUGUGGAUUCCCUACUCCUGGAGAUCUUCAAGGCCAGAUUGGAUAAAGUCCUGGGCAGCCUGAGCUGGUGGGUGGCAGGGAGUGGAAAUGGACUGUCUUUAAGGUUCCUUCCAACCUGAGCCAUUCUGAGAUUCUGGAUCAGUAUAUCUCUGCUAUUUUCUCCCUGCUGCUCUUUCCCCUUCACAUUUUGCCCCUGCUCCAGUGUGGACUUUCCACAGCUCUCAGUGAAUCUCUGUUUUGGGACCAUGGAACACCUCUUGCUGCUGUUUAUUGAUGUGUUCCCUUUGCCCUUUCUCACACUGCUGCCCUCACCCCUCCCUGCUGCAUGCUAUAUGUCCUGCCCUCUCCAUGUGCCCCAGGGUGGUUGAUGGGCCCAUCCCUGUCCUUCACUGGGGCCCAGGAGCCUGCUGGAAAUAGCUGCGUAUUUGAACUGGGGCAGCCCAGGCUAAGCCAAAAUGUUCUUCUAGGAGUAGGCAACAAAAUGCAGUUCUACAAACUUCUCAUCAAUUAAUAGCUGAAUUAUAAAAUCAUUUCUAGACAGACUGUUUUUUAGGUUGACAGCGAGGAGUUUACAGGUUCCUUUGCAUACACCAUACAUCUGCCUGCUGCCUCCCUCAAAUAAGCAGCAGAAUCAACUGCAUAGCUAGCUGAGUGGCAAAAAAAAAAAAAAAGAGGCUGUUUCUGCCUUCUGCAGAUUUCAGGCCAAGAGGCUGAUGCUUUCAUCUGCUGCCAGAAGACUCUCCCUGUCUCCCUGGGGCAGCAGAAGCAGGCUUUCCCCUUAGUUGCAAGGGAUUAGUCGGGCUGGGGAGGAGGCAAAUGAUUGUGCUGAAAUGCUCCUGUGCUGAGCUAUCAAUAGCCACAGCUGCCUGAAAAGCAUUGCAUUGAUUGCAACCAUGUUUCUGGAGGCUUUGGUCUGAAUCUUGUAUGCCUGAGGAGACUUGCAUGGCCAGGGAAUGGGAGUGUUCAUAUUUAUAGUUUUGGCUGUGUGUCAGUCAGUAGCACAGCCAAUCCCUACCCACUGCUGUAUCGGAGGAGGGAAAUGUGUUAGAAGCAGCAGCUGCUGGGGUUUGGCCCUUGAACUCUACUCUGACCUGACAUUUUGUUUGGUCCACACAAGCAGUAUCACUCAGCUCUGUAAAGCAGCUACGGGGGACUAUCAGUAGUGAUGUGAGCAAGACUGAGUCAGUCAGUGGUGAGCUGCUGCCCAUGCCUUUACAUGGAUCUCCUUCCAAGCAGGAUCUAUGCCCGCACCCUUAGGAAUCUCAGAAUCAUAUAAUGGCUUGGGUCAGAAGAGACCUCAAAGACAAUCCAGUUCCCAUACCCCUGCUGUGGGCACGAUUCCCAAGCACCAGCUCAGACUGCCCAGGCCCCCGUCCAGCAUGGGCUUGAACACCUACCUCCAGGGAUGAAGUAUCCACAGCUUCUCUGCUGUAUAAUGUAUAAUACCAUAUUUCUGACAUUGUUAUUACAUCUUUGUGCUCAUGGCAAGAUACAAUGUCAGUAAGUGUCCUUAGAAUGUAAUUUCUUGUUUGCUGCCAAAUAGUGUUUAAUAAUUUUAUUCUUAUAAGAGACUUACGAGAAUUUAUUCUUGCCUGCUUUUGUCCCAAAAUUACAAAUAUUACACCGUACAGUGAUCACAUAUAUUAGUGAUGUUUUUCUCAAGAAUACAGGGAGAAGGAAACUGAUAAUAAUAAUAAUCAAUAGUGUAUGCUAAUAGAUGGAAAACAAUACAUUUUAUUAGAGAAUACCUAUUUCUAAGAAAAAUUAGGAUGCUUCACAGGGGCUAUUUUUGGGGUCUUUCAAAAACAUACUGAAAAUAAGUGGACAGGUGUUUCAAUGUUCUAUUUAAACAAUUUCUUAAUGUGCAUAAUAGCUUAACGACUUAGUUCACUUAAUAUUAUGAAGAACAUUGUAAUUGUUUAAUAUGCAUUUUUUCAGACAAUGUUAAUCUCAAGAAUUAGAGAGAUAAAGCUCUUUCCCUCUGUUCUUCUCUCUAGCUUCCAAAAUAUUCCAAAUUUUGUAUACAGUUUCAAAAUUCUGCAUGUAUUGUGAUUAUGAAACAUGCAGUCUAAUUCUUAUUUUCUGUUGAAAUUAAUAUUCUUAAAUUAUUAACUAGGGUGUGGAUUUAUGUUUCUUAACCUCUUCUAUAUAGACCAGAAGUGUUGGAAAAGAAGAGGUUAAAAAGAUAUUCUUUAAUUUCUCAGCUGGAAAACUUUUAAGAGAUUUUUGCUAGUUACCUGUAUUCUUAAAAUUCAUUCUCAUUAAUUUGUUCUGCAGCCUUGAUUUCUGUGUAAAGGCAUUUGAUCUUGUAGAUCUUCCUGUUAUUUUUGGUACCCUUUGUAAAUCAAGUCUUACUGCGCACCAGGAGAAAAAAUAAUGGAGCUUCUCUUAACUGUUUUCUUGUAGGUGUGGGAGGGGGAUGUUUUUCUUGAUUUUUUUUCUCUAGUAAAAAAAAUUCACAUUAAUAACAUUGUGACUCUGCCUAUACACAUUUAUUUAGUAUGCUAAAAAACUGACCUUAUGGAGAAGUCUGGUCCUACAGUAAUUUCUAAAUAUUUGGAGAGUGCAUGUGUCAAGUGCUGAUAAACUUUGAAAUUAAUUUCUUUUCCACAUGAGUUAUCAAUAUUUCAUGUGAACUGGCAGGAUUUAACACUUCUAUUCUGUUUUCCUUCCUCUGCACUUUGUUUUGCCUUUGCAAGUUACAGUAGAAAAGUAGUAUUUAGUAUGUUAGAGCUUAAACAGAUGGGGCAGGUUUCUGGAUGUUGUUUCUUCAGUGGCAUUUUUUUGUCUUCUGUGGGAUUUUUUGUUUUGAUGAUCUUGUGGAUUUGGAGGAAUAAAAAAAAAAAAAGGGAGACUAUAUGGACUCAAUCUUGCUUUUUGUCCUGAACGUCAUCUGUAUGUUGAGGAUCUCUGUGCAAAAAAGAAUCACCUUUAAAGCAAGGCAGCGUGCAGAGCAUUUCAUCUUAGUUUGGUGGGCAUAGUGGGUACAAGUUUAAUAUCUACUUGAAAUGUGAGGGCUUUGAAGAAUGGCUGAAAAGUACUGCACAUAAAAAAAAAAGCAAAAAAAAAAACCCCAAAACUAAAACUAACCAACAAACAAACAAAAACCCAACAGAGCAACACAGCUAAGGUUAAGGAGAUGCUGCAUUUAUUUCCCUCGCAGGCCAGCACCCGCAACCUUAUUAGAUGUGCAGGAAUUUACAUUGUUGGGCAUUCUCGGUCCAUUGGAAAAACGUGUUUUUUUUUUUUGCUCAAAGCUCAAGGACCUAAAAGGCUAAUCAGAUAACGGAUGGAUCUAAUGUAUUCCACUCUGAUGAUUCUUUCACCAGCACUUGACUUUUGCAUGAGUUGUUACUAAUUUUUCAGAGGUUCAUAUUCUCCAUAUGCUUUCUAGACCUCUUUCAGCUGGAUCCAAGUGGUCUGUGUGUGGUGGUACAGCAGGAACAAGAGAAAUAGAUCUGCUUGCUUGGGUGCAGCUGGCUGGAAACCACAUGAUAAUAUCAUGAAUUGUAGUGGCCAUACUAGGAUGAUAGGCUAGGAAAAAAUAGAAUCAAUGGGAUAAGUCUACAGACAUCUUUGUUUUCUUUUGUAUAAUGAGUACACAAAACAGCCAAUUUAUAAUUAAAAGUACUCUAGUAGUCUAAUCCCUAAUAUUUGUAUAGAUAUUUAAAAUUUAUCUGUCUUUUGGUCUUAGAACUUGGCCUCAUUACUCAAUACUGCACAUUUCCUUUCUUAUUCAUUUAUUUUUCAAGUGUUAUAUUUAUCAGUCAGACUACAAAUGGGAAAAAGAGGGAGAAAACAGUUUUUAUUGUUACAUGAGUAGUAUUAAGUAGAUGCUAAUGUCACAAUACCUGUGACAGAAAAAAUAUCUAAAGUUGUUUCUUUAGUUUGGGUGUAGUUCAACGUUUUCAAAUAAAUUUGGUUGAUUGUUGCAGUUCUCUUAGUUUACAAUGCAGAGAUCUAUAAUCGGUUUUUGAGCAUCAAUGCCAUUAUCUGCUAUGCAUAAGGCUUGUUUUUUCUUGUUCUUUUCAUUUUGCUGCUCCCUUCUGUUUAUUCAGUCUCUAGUAGUUCAAGUAAAGCUAGAAAAACUACAUGCUGAUGAUCUGCUUGACUUUGGUCUAGUGCAUCCAGCAAUAGGAUUUGUCUGCAUGAAUAUACUUGUAAUGGCAUGAAUCUCUUCGCCGUGAAAGAGAAGGAGUUUCAUAUUCUCAUUUCUGAUCUCUUUGGCACAAAUGUGCUCAAAUGGUGGAUUUAACAGUUUAAUCCUUCCUUGUCCUCUGUUUAAAAAGUAACUUUCUCUCAUCCGUCAAUUUUGGGAACAACAAAAGUAUUAACCAAUAGAAUUCAGUAAUAUGAUUGUUUUGGUUGUGCAUCAUGCAGGAGUAAAUGAAGUAUGUUAUACCUUGCAAAAAACUUAAUUUUUUGAGCAUUGUCCUGAUAGAGAAAACAGCCCUAGAACGCAGAGAAACAAAUAUAGUCUUUACUCUUCAGAUUUGUUGCUAAUGUAUCAUUGAUGAACUUGUUUGAAAUUCUGAUUCCUUAAUGUAGAGCUUUAGUGUAAGCUAUAAUUGCUAUGCUUUUGGACUAGUUGCUCAAGGGAAAAUAGUUAUCUAUUUUUUCAGUAAGUAGUAUAGGCUUAGUGGUAAAUACAUUAUGUGUAGUGCCUGUCUUCCUGUUCUACUGACUGGAAUGCUUUGUCCAGGAGAGAAUGCAACUUGUGACAGUCAAAUGCAAUAUGCAUCCCCUCACAACUAGUGAUAUACAAUGCAAAAACUUAAAAUAAAGCUUCCCUACAGGUUUACCUUAUGGAUCUCCUGAGGAAUUUCUGUGCAUAUAAUAGUAAGGAAGACUUCUCUGCCUGGAAAUAGCAUUGUGACAGUUGUGAUCUGCUUCCGACAUCUUUAUUUUUCAUUAAUGCAGCCAGAAAAAAAGAUAAGAACUGAUGCCCAUUACUCAAGUAAUAUUUCCUUGAGAGUUUUCAAAAUGUUGAAAGCAGAACUCUUUCAUACAGGUUUGGAAGCUAAUUUCAGGGAAAACAGAAAAAGUAAAACCUUGCUAGCAAAACAGGAGAUUUCUUUAUUGUAUGGGGGUUUUUUAUUCUUCUUUCCUGUUGUGGAAACGCUGAAUGAAAGCAUAUAGAUAUGAAAGCAAGGCUACAAGUUACUACUACACAUUCAAAGUUCAAACUAAUACAAUUCUGUACCCCAAUCUGAAUCGCCAAACAUUACAUCCCAAUAGGAGUGGCAAGAAACAGCACAACUGUAUUUGUUUUUGAGGAAAAAGUGGGUCACCAAGACAUAAAGUGACAUAUAGUCUCUUCAUCCUUUUUGUGCUUUCUUUUCAAUGUGUACUUUUUCUUCACACUUUUCCCUUUUCAUUCUGCGGUCAUUAAAAAAAAAAAAAAACAGAUUUCAGUUCUUAUUAAUUAAUUGCUUCUAUUGCUACCGCAGUUUUCAUCUACUUAUUUUAUAUUUUGCUGUAGUCCCAGUAAGUCACAUUCCGUAUUAAUUUACCUCGAAACCCUGAAGACUGUACUAAAGUCUUUAAUCUCAGUUAGCACAUUGAGGAGGGAAGCAACUGAGUUGGCAAUCAUUAAUUAAACUUUUGUAUAAAGUACAGUAUUUUGCUCCCCUGCCCUUUCUACAAUCCUUUGAUAUUACUAGCUUUUCUUAUUUCUUUGGCAAAAGCUUGCCUUCCUGCUUUCCUUUACAGAGCUAUUUGCACAAAUACCACUGCAGAUUAGUCAACUAUGUUUUCAAAUUAUACUAUUAAAGAAUACAUCAAAAUUUAAAUUCUGGUCAAAUUGUGUCUGAACUGAGGUUUCAUCUGAAAUAAUGUGGAUGUAUUUGUACAGUCAGUCUUAGAUAUAUACUUUUUGUUGUGGGAAUUUUUAAACCAUUAUUUUUAAACCUUUUUCAGCAUACUGUAUGAAGAUUUUACUAUUGAUGCUUGCUUGUUUGGCUUCAGCAGACAUUUCCAUAUGGGCAUUUACACUCUGUAGUAAUAUUCUUGUCCAUAACUUUUGAAGUGAAGAGGUGAAAUCUAAGAACUUCUUAUGGAGUACCUUCAGUAAGUUAUCUGUAAUGUAUUAAUACAAGUUUUACCCAUUCAUCUUAUGCCUAUUCAAACAUGAAGCUGGUAAAUAAAAUCUUGACAGCAAACUGCUGGGAAGGAGAUGUUUUUUACUUUCAACCCCAAGUUGAGCUCAGCAUGUGAAGUUUAUAAGGAAAUGACAAAUAAUAGUUUCUUUGUUCAUAAGGACAAAUAAUAGCUCUGUCUUCUGAAAUAUCUUCAGGUGUUCUCUCCACAAUUGCAAACACAUUCAUUCACCAUGUCUCUUUCCUCCCCUGAUCACCUAUUACAGCGCCUUUUCAAAUUACCCUAACAAAUGACUGAAUGUCAUGAAGAGAUGCUCUUUCAAAACGGACUGUUUAGCUAAGGAAGCCUGCUUGUUGCUCUGCUACCUAAGUUGAUACAGCAUCAGAAGCAUCAGAAUCCUGCACUAAAUGUGGAAGGAUUGUUGUUUCCUUCUUCAUGAAAAGCCAUGAAGUCCUCAAAGGAGACCUUUCCUGCCUUCUUGGCUUUGGUCUUGUGAAUACUAGUCUUCAUCAGUGGAAGACUGCGUAGGAUCUCCCAUGAGAGCCUAGUACAACGGAAAGGUAGCCUUUAAAUACUUGACCUUUCAAGCUGCACAUAACUAGAUAAACCAAAAAGGCUUCUAAAUUUUGAGCAACAUGAACUCCUUGGCAGUCAUGUAAUUGGACGUAUUUCCUAUCCCUUGUCUUUCUCUACAUAAACUUUAUUUUGACCUAUUUCCCUCACACCCUAUCACAUAAUAGUAUUUCUUCUUUAAAUAAACCCAACUCAGUAAAUGUAACAAACUAAUGCUUUGAAUAAUAACAAGGUAGGAAUGGAUAGCUCUUUCUUUAAAUAGCCAAAUAUACAAGGCUGCAUUUUCUACAGUGCUAUUACACUGUAUCUGUUUCAAUGUAACAAGGUGGUAAAUAGAUCAGUGUAUUCUGAACGAGUUUUAUUUCUUUUAAAUGCUGAGAGAACUGGUACUUUAUUUACAAGUGGUGUUCAUUUUUCAUGUCAUCGUUCCCAUGGGAAUUAACAUAAAUCAGAAGAGCUCAAACGUUCUAAUUUCAGUGUGGGACCAGCAGCUGUUUCCCAGAAGUUCAGACAUACAGAACUCAAUAAGUCGCAAGUCAGACAGGCAGAGUCAGCUAUAUCCAGUUUCGUGCUAAGACACAUUCACACUACAUAUGCCCACUGGAGAUUGCGAUAACAAAAGGAUUGUGUAGGGCUUCCGAGAAAGUAUGAGUUUAAGUAAACAGUUAUGUAAUUUUUCUCUUUCACACUCUGUAAAUCACAGUGGUAUAAAAAUGCAGUCAGUUAGUGACAAGUUCUUUGGAGGUGCACAGUAGUGAACUGGCAUAAAAACACAACGUUAAGUAGCACAACCUAAACCGCUUCUUAUAGAAUCAUAAGCAUGCAUAUAGAAGCAGAUGAAUGUAACAUUUGCUUUUUAGUCUAUGGAAUACCUAUAAAUAAAUAACAUAUUAGAGCAUCUGGCAAAAAAGUAAAUAGCAUCUACUUUAUUCCUCUGAUCUGUGAUUGGACUGUUCUAGCAUAAUCCACAGAAAGAAAGAAAAGCCUUGAUGGAAGUAGCUCAGGAAGGAGCUAUAGAUGAGAAGAAGCAUGAGAAAACAAAGGCAAGGGAAGGAGCUUUUAUUACCUAUUUUACUGGUCAAGGUAUUGAGUUGAAUAUUUACUGUGUUUGUCACUUGGAUGUGAUGUGCAGGAUCAUGGAAAACAAUAAGUUUAGAAGUACCAUCUGGGUAUUGAUUUGAACCUUUCAAUUUAAGACCUGGUGCCCAGACCUAAGGAUGAAAUCUCCAUUCUUCUGAAGGAAUUAUGAAGUCUCUGAUAUCAGGAAAUCUAGAGCUUCUCCUUACCUUUGUGUUAUAUGUAUGAGAAUGGAAUAGAUGAGAUUGAGAAGUAAGUUUCACUGUCUUCACGUUACACCUUCACUUCAAUACAGCUGGGAUCAAGUUCUAGAUCUGCAUGUACUUAAGUGUGCUCAUGAUAAUGGUGGUCAAAAAUCUACAGCAUCUAACUACUGUAAUGUAGGUAUAGAUUUGUGUAUAAUUGUGGCAUAUUAAAAUACACGUUAUUAACAAUUUUUAGAUAAAAAUCAGUAUUUGAUGCAUAUUUCACAAAAAAUAUUUUUGUAAAAAUCACUUUGAGAACGCUUGGAUUUACUCAUAUAUAAUUUCACAAAGAAUUAGACCCAUGCAGUUAUUGAUUUUUUUUUCUGAUUUUUUUUUCUCUGAAGUCUUCACUUUACAACAGUGAAAUUUCUGCUCUGAUACAGAAUGCAUUCUGUCAGUGGAAGGAACGGUCAGCUCACUGCCAUCAAAUGGCACCACUAGUGAGAGGCAACUUUAUGGUUCUGAUUUAGGUAUAUUAUAUGUUCUCAAAACAGGCAUCUUGAAAGCUGUGUGUCAGUUAAUUAUGCAGCACAUAUAACUGAUGAAUUUAGCAUUCUAAUGACCUGAUCCUUGAUGGCAUCCAAGUUAUUAGCAUUUUCUUCUUUAAGUACACACAUUACUUAUAGGGAGAAAAGUAUUUCCAGACUUUUUACUUCAGUACUAAUUGGAAUUUACUGGCGAUUUACUACAUUAAGCCUGAAGGUUCCAUUUGGCUAUUUCAUUAAUAUGACUGAUCUUUCUUUCACAGAAAGAAAGCAUUAUCUUACUGUUUUUUUCUUUAAAUCUCUAGUUUCUUUUAUUUCCUUUUCCAAAGGCAAGCUGAAGCAGAAUGAGAUUGAUGAAUGUAGAAAUAAGGAGGUUAGGCAGACUGCACUUCUGUUGACUUUUGACUUUGGCCUAAUAGAGAUAUAUUGGGAUAUUUUAAACAGACAGGUUGGGUCUAAUGAUUUAUUUCCUUAUACUAUUGCUUAGAUCUCUUCACUGUCCUGGUCAUGGAGCUUUAAUGUAAAAACACUUGGUAAACAGAUUUGAAUUAUUAAUUCAUCAAUAGUGGAAAUUUAAUUCAUCAUUACAUAUAUAUAUAUAGUAUGCUUAAAAAACUUAUACAGAGAUAUGCAGUGGUCAUUUUUGCAAACAAAAUUACAGUGUCAUACUUAAGACAGCAGAAAAUAUUUGUAGUUCAUAAAUUGAUUCUUAACAGUCAGUUUAAAAUAAAAGCAUAAGUGUUUGCAAGAAUACUAAGAUUAUUCAUGUCUUCCCCUCUAUUAUAUUUAAAUGAUUGCUAAUUAUACUUGACAUGUACUCAGUGGUGAUAGCUUUGUGAAAAUAAUGCUGACUUCAUAAUAGUCAAAAAUGGAGCACAGGUAGUGCUGCGAGCCUCUUCAACUUUGUCAGGUAAAAGAAAUCUAUGCUGCCAUGGAAAGUCUCUUAUUUGAAACAUGAUUGGAUAUGGUAUCUGUCCAGGUAGAUCUUGAAUCCUACCUGGACUAUUUGGGACUACUAACUGCAGUAUUCAUUGAUUCGUUCCAAAUUCUAUACCUGCAUCAAACAUGAAGCUUGUUCAAGGAGGGUAGAAAAUAUGCUCAUUUCCUAUGCAUUUGUUAUCCUUUAGGGGGAAAAAAUGAACAAAAAAUAAUCCAGACAUCUGUUCUUGGUAUCCUAUCAUUAAUUAAAAAACAAAUAUUAAUAACUUACACCUCAAGCUAGGAAAAGGAUCUGUUUCUAUUUUAAAGAUUUAUUUUUAUUUUGAAUGGCACCUGACCCUUGGAAAUGGGCUUCCUGUAAUAACAUAGCAGGUCAUUCUCCCUACAUUUAGUCUGAUCAAUGAUAUAAAAUGUACUAAACAUCUUGCAUCAGUGCCCCUUUUUGUGAUAUAUACAUAAGUGAUGCAACGAUAAUUUGUUGAAUAGUUAUUAAAGUUUCACAUUCCAGUAUGUUCAACAGAUGUGCUCUUGCUUGAAAGAGUAAUUUAAAAUGAAAAAUAAAAGAUAGUAGUUGCUGAUAUGCACUUAGAGGUAUCGUGUUAGUACUGCUUGCAACACCACGUCAAGGAAGAGGUUGAAGGUCAGGCUCCAGGGGCAGCUGCGAAGUUCUGAGGGAGCCGAUUCAAUAAAGAAAACCACAGCGCUGGGGGCAGGGAGAUUUAUUACCAGACUGGUGGAUCUGCAUCUGCUCUCUUUGGUUUCAUAUGGAUCCAGAAUUGGAGUUUUGGAUUGCUUAUCAGCACACGACUUAGGCUAUUGAGAAACAAUUCCCAUCUGAGCUUGUUCCAUUCUAUUUUAUGUAGGUCGAUAAAUUAUCUUGUCAUGAGGCACAGACACAGAAAACGCCAUGAGGCUGUGAUUUCAUCAGUCCAGAUAGAGUUUGUUUGCACAUUGAUAUGUUAGUUUCUCUGCUAAGUUGCUGAUAGUAUAUUGGGGAACAACUCAUGAUGCAGCUAAAGCUGGUUUGAAGGAACAAGCAAAUGCAACAAAGAAUUUUCCUGUAUAAUUUUAAACAGAAAGGGAAUCAUAUACACUGUGUAAUACAGGUAAUCAGAAUGUAUCAAUAAUAAAGCAGAUCUGCUCUGAUUUAAAAAUAUUUGUGUAUCUUUCAAGCAUUAAAAACAAAGCACCAUUUUUUUUUCACUCUGGGUUUUUUUUUUUUUAAUUGAUUACAUUUCAAUGGUACUGCUCAACUAUAAGCUAAUUUGAUGGAAGUGAAAGUAACUACAGUGAGCACAUCCAAUACUUGAAAACAUGCUUUGAAUUAACUUGGUUUGCUUGUUGCUGGGGGUUUUUGCUUCCUUUUCUUUUCAAAGGCACAGUGCUUCUUGAAGAUUUCUAAAAUUUCUGGGGAAUGUGCUCUAAGGAUUUUUUUUUUAUUUUUUUAUUUUUUGGUAAGCAUUCCCAGAAGAUUGUUUUAAAGAUAUUUCCCUCCAGGGCUGGCAGGUGCAAGGAUGAAAUAUCCAAGCCUUUCUGCAAUAUCAGGUUUAGAAUUUCUUAAGGGAAUGAGAGCACUACCAAGAUGGUUAAUAGUUCAGUAAACCCUUUAAAGCUGGGAAGUUAGCAGGGAAAGCUGAGGAGUAUCAGUAUGCAAUGAAGCUCAUUCUGACAUCACAGUGUGUCAGGGAGAUUCAGUGUUUGGGGAAGGCUGUGCAAUGAAGCAUUCCAGUAUUUGCUCUUCCAUACACUGUGUAUUUCCAUGCAGCUGGCUGAAGUUGGUCACAUCUGUCCUGCAGCCAUUGCAGUGGUUUCUGAUCAUUUGGCUGCAAAGACAGCAGUGUGCAGUGGGUCCCACCAGCCUCUGGCCUUCUGUCUCACAUGCUGUUGCAGCUACAGUUGCCUCUUGUCUCUUGGUGCUUGUCAGCAGUCACUGUACUGUGAGGUGGACUGUCUCUCCAACAGGCAGCAGAAAACAGUAUUGUUGAUUGUGUUCCUAGCACAAAUGAAGUGCAAAUCUGACAGUUUGUGUUUGACCUAAUGCUACUUUGUAAAUUAAACCUGUCAUGUUUUGACUCUUCUCAUUUAUUACUACAAACAUGAAUACAGCACUCAAAAAGGAUGCAACAGCCUGAAUUCACAUAGGUUAGAGUGAUGUGAUAUCUGUGUAGUACACUGAAUUUCAAUGAUAGGAUUACUUGACAUGAACCCAGCAACGUUAUGGGAAGCUCACUAAAUUAAAAGAAAACUGUGCCAUUGUUAUUUUGGCUCUUUAACCAAAUAUUUCAAGCGAUUAACAGGCUUGCCCGUACAAACAUCUAGCUUACAAUUUUAGAAAUAUCAUUUAACUGAAACAUCUCAAAGUAGAAUUCUAAAUUAUGCCUGAUUUUCAAAACAGAGAGCUAUUUAUGAUUGUGUUUAUCAUCCCUGUAAACAAAAUUCUUCUCUGUUACCCACAGAAAACUGUGGCUUUCCUUGGAAACUUCUUUACCUUUUCCUGAAGAGCUUAUCGCUCUUUCUGGAGGGUAGGGGAAACAUUUUUCUUUUUUUCCCCCACUUCUGGUAACUCAGAGAUGACAGUGUUGCCAGCUGCCACUACAUGUGGGGAUACUUUCUGUGAUUUGGACACCUGUCAGCAAGAAACUGAAAACCAUGCAGAACGCUAAACAGCUGCCAUGCGUAAUGAUUUAAUAUUACCAAGCAAUAAGGAGCUAGGAUGUGUUUCUCUUUUUCUAUUGCUCAAUGAAAUAAAUGAUGCAGCUGAAUCCUUUUUGUGAUCCUCCAGCAUUUGCCACAUAUUGUCAAGCAUUUCAUAAAUAAAAUGAAGACUACUUUAUUAACAUUUUACUAGAUUUUAAUCUACUUUUAUUAUUUGGCAUGCUACAGAAUUUAGGUUUUCUUCUAGCCUCUAACUCAGUAUACCUGAGUAUGCUCAAAACUAACUGCCUAUUUUCCAGGACAUGCUGUAAUGCAUAUCCAUGUUUGUCAGACUGCAAUUGGGCCAGCAUCUUAUCCAUCACCAUUAAGAGCAUGAUGGGGAGCUGUUCUCUCUGUGUGUGUAUAUCUAUAGACGGAAUGUUACUGUGCGGUAUUUCAGAUCUACUUGGUGUUAUACAAUUCUGUUGCAAAUUCUCCCGGACCAACUGCAGUCAGUAUUUCAAGACUGAAAGUAGAGCUUUACAAACCCUCUUUGCUUGUGUGUAUUUCAUACACAACUAUCAGGCUUUCUAAAGUUUUAAGUUGUGUUCUAGAGAAAAAAAAAAAAAAAUUGCUCUCACUUGUCUUGCUUACUUUUUAAUAAUCUUUAUAUAUAUAUAUAUAUAUAGGAUUUUCUUAUAUAAUUGGAAAAUGGAAGUUGAAAAUAUUGAAUGAUGCUCAGAAAUACAACAUAUGACAUUGUAAACAUCAAUAUUAACACACUUCAGAUUAUUCUAGGGUAUUCCAGGUCUCAUUGCCGCACUUUUUUUCUAUACAGAGGGCAGUGCUUUGCAAAAAUGAGAGGGAAGAAACUGUAUGACUUCCUUGUUCUCAGUGACACUGUGCAUAUAUCUCCAUCUUCUUGUCUAGUGAUCUUUGUCCAUAUCCCAGCGGGUUAAGUCAAGGAUAGAGCACAGGAAGCUAAUUCACAUCUUGUUUUAAAGCUAGCUCCAGAAAUUUGGUUUUGGGAACCUUCUAAAAUACAUCUAUUUGUACAGGUUGACACAGAUGAUUUAGUGGGUAGAGAGGGCUGUGCUCUAUUUUGAUUUCUCUUUAAUUUUUGUUUUUAUGGCUUACAGUAAAAAAAAAAAAAAAUCUAAGAUACCUAGUUAAAGCUCUAUUAUUUUCUUCUUUACAAACACUGAAUAAAACAAUCUUAACAAUAAAUCUAGUGUUUAGACCUGCUAAGAUAAGCUGUGUAUUUCUAAGCCCUUCACUAAGGAAAGGCUUAAUGCUGCAAUGAGAGGGUGGGAGAGAGGAAAGCAGCAGUGUUAUAUGAACUUGAAAGCAGACCAGCUUUGACCUCACAGGAAUGUGAAGUCUGGUGAACUUGGUACUAUCUUUCACUGACAUCUGUAGCGUUUUCUGAAAAUCAGUGGAUAAUAUUUGUUCCAGUAGUUCACAGUUUUUUGUGGGGUUUUUUUGUUUGUUUUUGUUGUUGUUUUUUUUUUUUUUCCAAUUCAUUUGGACUUGAGUGAGGUGAUCCUAUAAAAUACAGCCUACUACAGAUUUCAGUACAGCCCUUUGUCAGGCACACUAUCUAAAAUCCAGUUGUUUAUGGAUCAUUUGUAUUUCUAUAUUUAUUUGCUAGCUGGAAACAAACUAUAGAAAUUAAACAGUGAGGUUAUAUAUUUAUUGGAAAACUAGCUUUUAUAAGCCUCAAGAUGCUGAUUUGUUUACUGCUGGGAUGCUGGGAAUUUAAAAAAGAGAAUAUGGCUAUACAGUUUGAUUAAAAAAAAUAGUAAUUUCUGUGAUUGCGUUGAUCUGUGCAGACUUUUUCAUAAAGUGAGUUUCUAUUUAUCUGGUUUUAGAUUUUUUGCUUGUAUUCCCAGGCAUAGCUCCUUAGGGAAGCAAAAGCAUUGACUCCUCAGUGGUGCCAUUUUUCACAUUGAAGGGUUACACGUUUUGAGGAAGAUAAUAAAUGUGCCCUAAGUGACAGAGCUGACAUCUAGAAAUCUGGAAGUGUUUUUUGAAUAAGCUGUUCACAGAGAACAGCUAGGUUUUCAUUUGAAUCUGUAAGAAGUUAGACUGAGUCAGUUCUAAUUCAUUUCUAUACAGAUUAUACCUUCCUAAACUUAAUUACUGUUCUUCCCCUAAUAUGUCCCUGAAGAUCAGCUAUUUUACUGCAAUUACUGAAAAUGAAAAGGAGAAUAAAAUUUAGUGACAGUAAACUAGGCUUCUCAACCUUACAUGCUCAUUUUGAGAGCCUGUUUUGCUGAUUUUCUUUUUCUCCUUCUGAAUGAAAAACAGCUCCCACUUCAUUAUGAAUUUAACAAUCAAGCUCUUAACAGCCGUGGAACUAAGUUCUUUCCUGUUAAUAUCACAUUGACAUAAUUAGGCAUAACUAUAGAUGAAUUCAACUCAUUUGUUUUUUGUUACAGUAGGUUUCAGAUACUUUUUAAAUACCCAACAUUAAACAGUAUUUUUGGUGUAGAUUCAAUUGUUGCUUUUUAUCUCCUGAGUUUUCUAGGGCUUUUUU
This 17898-nucleotide long non-coding RNA is filed under the name Gallus gallus (chicken). Lineage: Eukaryota; Metazoa; Chordata; Aves; Galliformes; Phasianidae. The record is from RNAcentral.